This 400-nucleotide ribosomal RNA is filed under the name phytoplankton environmental sample. RNAcentral describes it as "partial small subunit ribosomal RNA". It matches the Rfam family "Eukaryotic small subunit ribosomal RNA", at positions 587 to 983 of the family's 1831-position model. The record is from RNAcentral.
AGCUCCAAUAGCGUAUAUUAAAGUUGUUGCAGUUAAAAAGCUCGUAGUUGGAUUUCUGUUUUGAAUUUCCGGUCCGUUUCAAUGAAAUGUGUACUAGGAGAUUUGAUUCAUUUAUUGUGAGGACCCUUGACUGGCAUUAAGUUGUCUGGUUUUGUGGACUUGCAUCGUUUACUGUGAAAAAAUUAGAGUGUUUAAAGCAGGCUUUCGCUUUCGAAUACAUUAGCAUGGAAUAAUAAGAUACGACACUGGUGGUCUAUUUUGUUGGUUUGCACACCAGAGUAAUGAUUAAUAGGGACAGUUGGGGGUAUUCGUAUUCCUGUGGAAGAGGUGAAAUUCUUGGAUCACAGGAAGACGAUCUUAGGCGAAAGCAUUUACCAUGGAUGUUUUCAUUAAUCAAGAA